CCUACGGGGGGCAGCAGUAGGGAAUCUUCCACAAUGGGCGAAAGCCUGAUGGAGCAACGCCGCGUGGGUGAAGAAGGUCUUCGGAUCGUAAAACCCUGUUGUUAGAGAAGAAAGUGCGUGAGAGUAACUGUUCACGUUUCGACGGUAUCUAACCAGAAAGCCACGGCUAACUACGUGCCAGCAGCCGCGGUAAUACGUAGGUGGCAAGCGUUAUCCGGAUUGAUUGGGCGUAAAGGGAACGCAGGGGGUCUUUUAAGUCUGAUGUGAAAGCCUUCGGCUUAACCGGAGUAGUGCAUUGGAAACUGGGAGACUUGAGUGCAGAAGAGGAGAGUGGAACUCCAUGUGUAGCGGUGAAAUGCGUAGAUAUAUGGAAGAACACCAGUGGCGAAAGCGGCUCUCUGGUCUGUAACUGACGCUGAGGUUCGAAAGCGUGGGUAGCAAACAGGAUUAGAUACCCUAGUAGUC
This 465-nucleotide ribosomal RNA is filed under the name uncultured bacterium. RNAcentral describes it as "partial 16S ribosomal RNA". It matches the Rfam family "Bacterial small subunit ribosomal RNA", at positions 338 to 795 of the family's 1533-position model. The record is from RNAcentral.